Molecule: ribosomal RNA, 1035 nt
Filed under: Escherichia coli
Lineage: Bacteria; Pseudomonadati; Pseudomonadota; Gammaproteobacteria; Enterobacterales; Enterobacteriaceae
Description: partial 16S ribosomal RNA
Source: RNAcentral
CGGGSGGSMGCCUAAMCAUGCAAGUCGAACGGUAACAGRAARCAGCUUGCUGMUUUGCUGACGAGUGGCGGACGGGUGAGUAAUGUCUGGGAAACUGCCUGAUGGAGGGGGAUAACUACUGGAAACGGUAGCUAAUACCGCAUAACGUCGCAAGACCAAAGAGGGGGACCUUCGGGCCUCUUGCCAUCGGAUGUGCCCAGAUGGGAUUAGCUAGUAGGUGGGGUAAAGGCUCACCUAGGCGACGAUCCCUAGCUGGUCUGAGAGGAUGACCAGCCACACUGGAACUGAGACACGGUCCAGACUCCUACGGGAGGCAGCAGUGGGGAAUAUUGCACAAUGGGCGCAAGCCUGAUGCAGCCAUGCCGCGUGUAUGAAGAAGGCCUUCGGGUUGUAAAGUACUUUCAGCGGGGAGGAAGGGAGUAAAGUUAAUACCUUUGCUCAUUGACGUUACCCGCAGAAGAAGCACCGGCUAACUCCGUGCCAGCAGCCGCGGUAAUACGGAGGGUGCAAGCGUUAAUCGGAAUUACUGGGCGUAAAGCGCACGCAGGCGGUUUGUUAAGUCAGAUGUGAAAUCCCCGGGCUCAACCUGGGAACUGCAUCUGAUACUGGCAAGCUUGAGUCUCGUAGAGGGGGGUAGAAUUCCAGGUGUAGCGGUGAAAUGCGUAGAGAUCUGGAGGAAUACCGGUGGCGAAGGCGGCCCCCUGGACGAAGACUGACGCUCAGGUGCGAAAGCGUGGGGAGCAAACAGGAUUAGAUAYCCCUGGUAGUCCACGCCGUAAMGAUGUCGACUUGKAGGUUUGUGCCCUUGAGGCGUGGCUUCCGGAGCUAACGCGUUAGUCGACCGCCUGGGGAGUACGGUCGCAGGUUAAAYUCAAAUGAMUUGACGGGGSCCGCACAASCGUGGAGCAUGUGSUUUAUUCGAUGCWACGYGAAGAACCUUACCUGUYYUGACAUCCMSGGARUUUUCAGARAUGAGAAUGYGCCUUCUGGAACCGUGCRAMAGYGCUGYAUGGCUKGCCSUCAKYUCKCGUUGUG